ACAGCAGUAGCCGCGGUAAAACGUAGGUGGCAAGCGUUGUCCGGAAUUAUUGGGCGUAAAGCGUGCGCAGGCGGUUGUGUAAGACAGGUGUGAAAUCCCCGGGCUUAACCUGGGAACUGCGCUUGUGACUGCACAGCUAGAGUAUGGCAGAGGGGGGUGGAAUUCCACGUGUAGCAGUGAAAUGCGUAGAGAUGUGGAGGAACACCGAUGGCGAAGGCAGCCCCCUGGGCCAAUACUGACGCUCAUGCACGAAAGCGUGGGGAGCAAACAGGAUUAGAUACCCCCGUAGUCCCUGUCUCUUAUAA
Molecule: ribosomal RNA, 305 nt
Filed under: uncultured bacterium
Lineage: Bacteria
Description: partial 16S ribosomal RNA
Rfam family: Bacterial small subunit ribosomal RNA
Source: RNAcentral